GCGAGACGGCGACGUUAAGCAAAUCACAAAAACCCAGUCCCAGUUCGGAUUGCAGUCUGCAACUCGACUGCAUGAAGCUGGAAUCGCUAGUAAUCGCGGAUCAGAAUGCCGCGGUGAAUACGUUCCCGGGUCUUGUACACACCGCCCGUCACACCAUGGGAGUCGGAAAUGCCCGAAGUCUGUGACCCAACCGAAAGGAGGGAGCAGCCGAAGGCAGGUCGGAUGACUGGGGUGAAGUCGUAACAAGGUACC
RNAcentral lists this ribosomal RNA (252 nucleotides) under uncultured bacterium. RNAcentral's name for it is "partial 16S ribosomal RNA". It matches the Rfam family "Bacterial small subunit ribosomal RNA", at positions 1249 to 1500 of the family's 1533-position model. The record is from RNAcentral.